UGGGGAAUCUUGCACAAUGGAGGAAACUCUGAUGCAGCGACGCCGCGUGAGUGAUGAAGCCCUUCGGGGUGUAAAGCUCUUUCGACCCGGAAGAUUAUGACGGUACGGGGAUAAGAAGCUGCGGCUAACUACGUGCCAGCAGCCGCGGUAAUACGUAGGCAGCGAGCGUUGUUCGGAGUUACUGGGCGUAAAGCGUGCGUAGGCGGUGUUCCAAGUCUGUUGUGAAAUCUCCCGGCUUAACCGGGAGGGUGCGGCGGAAACUGGAAUGCUGGAGUGCCGGAGAGGUAAGCGGAAUUCCUGGUGUAGCGGUGAAAUGCGUAGAUAUCAGGAGGAACACCUGCGGUGUAGACGGCUUACUGGACGGUAACUGACGCUGAGGCACGAAAGCGUGGGUAGCAAACAGGAUUAGAUACCC
This 415-nucleotide ribosomal RNA is filed under the name uncultured bacterium. RNAcentral describes it as "bacterial SSU rRNA". It matches the Rfam family "Bacterial small subunit ribosomal RNA", at positions 355 to 787 of the family's 1533-position model. The record is from RNAcentral.